Non-coding RNA from Paramormyrops kingsleyae, 1475 nucleotides. Lineage: Eukaryota; Metazoa; Chordata; Actinopteri; Osteoglossiformes; Mormyridae. The record is from RefSeq and is a predicted model, not a curated record.
CAGAAAGGACCGCUGUGUAUGCAGGUUUUCGCUGCAGCUCACUAAUUAGAUUACUAAUUAGAGGACUGAUUGGCUGAGGUGUCCUCACACCUGGGUUUGAACAGCUGACCUAAAGGUCAUACCAAAAACUUGCAAACACUCUAUCCCUUUGCGGAUAAGGGGCCACCCCUGAUCUAACCCUAACACAAUACUCCCUGGUGAUGAAUAUCUUGUUACGAGACCAGACUUUUUUUUUUUAGUAUAUGAUAUGUGAAGAGAGAGAAAUCUUAACAUUCUCUAAGAACAGAAGAGCUCACUGUUAAACCACAAGAAAAAUCAUGUUAACAGUUUUGCAUAUUUGACUUGAGCCCUUGCUCUCAGCAGGCACUGUGCGCGGGGCACCUCUCCCCAGGCAAUGUGCUCACAACAAAUUGAUUUCCCCCGCCUGACUGGAAGGCAGAGAGGUAGGAGGUGCCCUGGUUCUUUCCUGCAGAGAAUGAGUCAGCAUCUGUUGAUCAUAAGUGCCUCUUCGUGGACACGCCUACUCGACUGCAUCGUGAAAGCGGCUGCCACGCUCUUACAAAUGAGCACAGUGCCUUUGGGUGAUGCACACUGCACUCCGGAGUUGUCCUGAGACCAUAUGUUCACAAAUUCUACUCAUUUUUAUUUAUUCAUUUUUUUGCAUGAAUCUGAACUGUUUUGGUAGAUGCUGUGCAGCAUCUGUAGACAAAAUGUGAUACUAUACAGCACAGAAAUUGCUGUGUGAAAACCGAUACAUACAUGAUCCUUACUCCUAAUGAUAUCGAGGUAGGUGAGGUUGUAGAAUGUGUUAUACAACUAGUUCUUAUUUAGGAAUGGGAUAUGAAUGGUUAAGUCUAUCUCUAAUUCUGUGCUUUCAGCCUCAGGAUGCUGCUGUUUUGGAUGCAAGCCUAUCUCAUACAGGAUAUUUUUUUAAAUACUGGAAGUCAAGAAACGAAGAGAAAAGCAUGCAAAAAUCAUGCUCACGAUGGCCAUCAAAUGAGCUCAGAUACCUCUGUAGGAGACCUUGUAAGAAUUAAUGUCUACAAAUAUCUAAUCCACAAGAACAUACAGCAGCCGUCAGCUUAAUUUGUCUUUAUUAAGAAACUAUUUGUUUCAAAAGGCAUUAUUAAAAGUAAGAGUGCACUAACAGGUUCUUUUGAAACCAAAAGCCAUCUGCAUGCUAUUUAUCUCUCAAAGCUUUGGAGAGUCUGUGAGGCUGGUGGCAAAAAGCACCAUCAAACAUUCAUUGUUUUGGGGAAUUCUGUUUGAAACUACAGCAAAGUCUGAAAAAGAGAAGUUAUAUUAGCCAGUACUGACAAAUCAUAUUUGUUUUAUUCUGCAAUUCAAAGCAAACUAUGCAGUGACUUAAAAAAAAGGAUUUCUGAGUCUUAACCGUUAAAAAAAGCAACUGCUUAAAGCAGUACAUGAUAACAGGAAAAUCUGUUGUAAUAAAAAGGUGAAAAUAUGUUCAAUAA